CAGCAGCCGCGGUAAAACGUAGGGAGCAAGCGUUGUUCGGAUUUACUGGGCGUAAAGGGCGCGUAGGCGGCGCGGUAAGUCACUUGUGAAAUCUCUGAGCUUAACUCAGAACGGCCAAGUGAUACUGCUGUGCUAGAGUGCGGAAGAGGCAACCGGAAUUCUUGGUGUAGCGGUGAAAUGCGUAGAUAUCAAGAGGAACACCUGAGGCGAAGGCGGGUUGCUGGGCCGACACUGACGCUGAUGCGCGAAAGCCAGGGGAGCAAACGGGAUUAGAUACCCCGGUAGUCCCUGUCUCUUAUAC
RNAcentral lists this ribosomal RNA (301 nucleotides) under uncultured bacterium. Its description in RNAcentral is "partial 16S ribosomal RNA". It matches the Rfam family "Bacterial small subunit ribosomal RNA", at positions 509 to 807 of the family's 1533-position model. The record is from RNAcentral.